UGCCAGCAGCCGCGGUAACACGAACCGUACGAACGUUAUUCGGAAUCACUGGGCUUAAAGAGUGUGUAGGCGGCCUAGCAGGUUGGGUGUGAAAGCCCUCGGCUCAACCGAGGAACUGCGCCCAAAACCGCUGGGCUCGAGGGAGACAGAGGUGAGCGGAACUGAUGGUGGAGCGGUGAAAUGCGUUGAUAUCAUCAGGAACACCGGUGGCGAAAGCGGCUCACUGGGUCUCUUCUGACGCUGAGGCACGAAAGCUAGGGGAGCGAACGGGAUUAGAUA
This 279-nucleotide ribosomal RNA is filed under the name uncultured bacterium. RNAcentral describes it as "partial 16S ribosomal RNA". It matches the Rfam family "Bacterial small subunit ribosomal RNA", at positions 506 to 784 of the family's 1533-position model. The record is from RNAcentral.